GGAAGUAAAAGUCGUAACAAGGGUUUCCGUAGGUGAAACCUGCGGAAGGAUCAU
This 54-nucleotide ribosomal RNA is filed under the name Coprinopsis aff. phlyctidospora phylogenetic group B. RNAcentral describes it as "partial 18S rRNA". The record is from RNAcentral. Lineage: Eukaryota; Fungi; Basidiomycota; Agaricomycetes; Agaricales; Psathyrellaceae.